AAAAAACAGAGAGAGAAAGAGAGAGAGAAAGAGAGAGAAUGAAAACUGCAGGAGAUACAACGGGGAGUGGGCUGGUAUUUACACAGCUCUGUCUCGCAAGCUUGAAUCUCAUCCAGCUGCAGCCUUACGGGAGACAGAAGCAAUUUGCAGGUCUCUCGAAGACAGCUGUUUAAUCAUCACCUCAGGAUUCACUCCAUCAGAAUGAUCCAUGAAGUGUUUCAUUUUCCAGAGGGAGCACCGAGGCAGAGGAGGGUGAAGUGAAUUUCUGGCGGAGGGUUUUAGAUUCCCGGCAGCUUUCGAUCGGCUGAGUAGGACUGACCGUUUGUGAAGGAGGAAGAUGGAGAUCUCUUCCUCUCUGGGAGGAGAGUUCCAAAUUCUCAUUACCCUCUGAGGGAGAAAACAAUUCUUAAAUGGAUGCCCCCUGAUUUUAAAAUGAUGCAAUAGCUGAUUGACAUUAUUUCCCUAUUCAACAAACACAUCAACUUGGACCCCAUUUACCACCCUCUGAGAAAAAGAACAGGAAAUGUCACCACCACAGGAAAUGACAUUACCAACCCAAGGAAACCUAAACACCUAAACAGAAAGUGGUUCAUAACACAAGUGCUUCAUCAGAGGCUCACUGAUGAUGUUACCUAGUAUGGUGACGAAACGUCUGAAAACGAACCUUCCAGCUCAACGAGCAAACUUACACCCAGAACCUCAAUCUGAGCGACAAAUCUUUUCAAAACUUGCUGACACUAUUCGCUGCCAUGCUUUUAAAGAAUGCUAGAAAUGAAAGCAAAACACUGAGGACACUGGAGAUCUGAAAU
Non-coding RNA from Chiloscyllium plagiosum (whitespotted bambooshark), 809 nucleotides. NCBI's taxonomy places the organism in Eukaryota, Metazoa, Chordata, Chondrichthyes, Orectolobiformes, Hemiscylliidae. The record is from RefSeq and is a predicted model, not a curated record.